Molecule: transfer RNA, 73 nt
Filed under: Ipomoea nil (Japanese morning glory)
Lineage: Eukaryota; Viridiplantae; Streptophyta; Magnoliopsida; Solanales; Convolvulaceae
Rfam family: tRNA
About the family: Transfer RNA (tRNA) molecules are approximately 80 nucleotides in length.
Source: Rfam by way of RNAcentral
GCUUGUCUAGCUCAGUUAGUAGAGCGCAAGGCUCUUAACCUUGUGGUCGUGGGUUCGAGCCCCACGUUGGGCA